RNAcentral lists this non-coding RNA (206 nucleotides) under Rhizobium sp. Lineage: Bacteria; Pseudomonadati; Pseudomonadota; Alphaproteobacteria; Hyphomicrobiales; Rhizobiaceae. The record is from RNAcentral. RNAcentral also lists the same sequence under 1 other name.
GCAUCCCGGUAGUUCCAAGGUGCCACCUGUCGGGAGGACAGGAUGGAGAAUUGGGAAGCCGGUCGAAAUCCGGCGCUGCCCCCGCAACGGUAGCGGAGUUCGUGUUCGACGGGAGACCACUGGGCUUGACGGCCUGGGAAGGUGUCGAACGGUCCCGAAAGGGACGGCUCCGGAGCCCGGAAACCAGCCUGGAUCCGAAUAUAUGA